AAUAAGCAAAAUAAGGGCGUAUGGGGGAUGCCUAGGCUCUCAGAGGCGAAGAAGGACGUGAUAAGCUGCGAAAAGCUACGGGGAUCGGCACACACGAUUUGAUCCGUAGAUAUCCGAAUGGGGCAACCCACUAUGUUGAAGACAUAGUACACCGAUAGGUGGGCAAACCCGCUGAACUGAAACAUCUAAGUAGGCGGAGGA
RNAcentral lists this ribosomal RNA (201 nucleotides) under uncultured Flavobacteriaceae bacterium. RNAcentral describes it as "partial 23S ribosomal RNA". It matches the Rfam family "Bacterial large subunit ribosomal RNA", at positions 1 to 217 of the family's 2925-position model. Lineage: Bacteria; Pseudomonadati; Bacteroidota; Flavobacteriia; Flavobacteriales; Flavobacteriaceae. The record is from RNAcentral.